AGGGAUUUGGCUCAGUGGCAUAAGCACCUGCCUUGCAAGCAGGCAGUCAUGAGUUCGAUCCCCAUGGAUUCCCG
This is a non-coding RNA of Cavia porcellus (domestic guinea pig), 74 nucleotides long. The record is from Rfam. Lineage: Eukaryota; Metazoa; Chordata; Mammalia; Rodentia; Caviidae.